UCAAGUUACAAAUAUGAGAAAAUUCAGAAUUUCAGGUAAAAGUGCACUCACUCACACAGAGCAAUCAAAAACAUAACAAAAGGAUUGGAUUAGUUGAGAAGUUCCCAUAUUAGGGUUUGUGUCCUGUUUUCUUCUUCUGCACAAAACCACAUGCCCUGGGGGAGAAACCCCGGCAAUGGAUGAGGGCGAGGGAGGGUACGGUGAGAGCGGCGAUCCCAUGGAUCAGUUUCACCGUAACGAAGCUAUAUCCGCCGUCGCCGACGAUGGUUUCAUGGCAGAGGAAGAUGAUGAUUAUGAAGAUCUUUACAACGAUGUCAACAUUGGAGAGGGUGUCCUUCAAUCUUUGCGCAAAAACGAGGAUUCGGGGUUCCGAAACGAUGAUGUUGAGGUCAAGAAGCCCCCGCCGCCCCCUCAAGUUCCUGAUGCUCCCGGGGUUUCGAUUUCGGGUGCCGGUGACGGUGACGGGGGAGAAGGUGUCGGAGGUGGCGGAAGUGGGAUUGUCGAGUCUAGGGUUUCGGGGAGAGUUGAUGGAUUUCAGAAUCAAGGGUUUAGAGGGAACGAGGUGGGUGCCAAAGGUGGGAUCAGGGUUGAAUUGGGGCACCAAACUGUAAAAUCUGAUAUUGAGGAACAGGGUGGUAAUGACGGGGCUGCACUUCCGGGGAUUGAGCAGCAGUCACAUGGCGGGGUUGUUGGGAGUGUGGGAAAUGAGGGUUUAGUGAGACAAGGUCAAGGUGGGGGAGGAGGGGGAAGUGCUAAUAGGGUUGGUGGAAAUGGUGUUGGGAACAGUGUGACCGCUGUUAAUAGUGUUAGUACCGGAGGAGUUGGAGGUGUUGGCGGUGGUAGUGGUGCUUCCGGUGGUACUAUAUUGUUUGUUGGUGAUUUGCAUUGGUGGACUACUGAUGCUGAGCUGGAAACUGAGCUUAGUAAGUAUGGGCCUGUCAAGGAGGUGAAGUUUUUCGAUGAGAAGGCUAGCGGGAAGUCAAAGGGCUAUUGCCAAGUUGAGUUUUUUGACCCUUCUGCUUCCACAAAUUGCAAGGAGGGAAUGAAUGGUCAUGUUUUUAAUGGGAGACCAUGUGUUGUUGCUUUUGCAUCACCUUUUACAGUUAAGAAAAUGGGGGAGGCUCAGAUAAACAGGAAUCAGCAGAUGAACCCAUCUACAGUUACACAACAGGGAAGGAGGGGGCCUUCUGAUUCAGGGGCUAAGCCUGGUGGGGGUAAUAUUUCUACAGGUGGUAAUUACCAAGGGGGAGACGGGAAUAGAGGUUAUGGGAGAGGAGGUAACUGGGGAAGAGGGAACAAUCCUGGUAUGGGGAAUAGGGGACCCGUGAAUCAAAUGAGGAAUAGGGGUGGUGGGAUGGGUGGUAGAGGUAUAAUGGGUCAUGGUGGAAAUGGUUUUGGACAGGGUAUUGGUGGUACCCCUCCACUGUUGCAUCCUCAGUCAAUGAUGGGUCAGGGUUUUGAUCCUGCUUUUGGUGGUCCCAUGGGUAGAAUGGGUAGCUAUGGAGGCUUUCCUGGUGCUCCAACGCCUCCAUUUUCUGGGAUCUUACCAUCAUUCCCUGGUGUUGGAGGUGUUGGUUUGCCUGGAGUGGCACCUCAUGUUAAUCCUGCAUUCUUUGGAAGGGGGAUGCCAGUUAACGGUAUGGGGAUGAUGCCUACAUCAGGCAUGGAUGGUCCUAAUAUGGGGAUGUGGUCAGAUCCAAAUAUGGGUGGAUGGGGUGGGGAAGAGCCUGGUGGUGGGAAGGCUGGAGAGUCAAGUUAUGGGGAGGAAGCUGCAUCUGACCAUCAGUAUGGUGAAGUGAGUCAUGAUAGAGCUGGGUGGCCUAUGAGGGAGAAAGAUAGAGGUUCAGAAAGAGACUGGUCUGGUUCUUCUGAGAGAAGGUAUAGGGAUGAUAGAGAUCAAGGAUAUGAGAGAGAUGCACCUAGAGAGAAAGAUAUGGGCCAUGAUCCUGAGUGGUCUGAAAGAAGGCAUCGUGAUGAUAGAGAAACUGGCCGAGAACGGUCACGUGACCGUGAUCGUGAACGAUCGCGUGACCGUGAAAGGGAUCAUCGUGAACGUGACAGACACCGGGAAGAUAGGGACCGGUAUGCAGACCAUCAUAGGUACAGAGACCGGGAGGCAGAGCAUGAUGAUGAGUGGGAUAGGGGACGAUCAUCAAGGACUCACAGCAAGUCGCGGUUAUCACAAGAGGAAGAGCACCAUUCAAGGCCAAGAGAUGCUGAUUAUGGGAAGAGGCGAAGGCUUACUUCUGAAUAACUUUAUAUACCGUGCUUGUUGUUUCCUCGAAGGCAUUCCACUGAAGAAGAAAACAAAGUAAUCGAGUAGUCUGGAUUUUGUCAUUUGCUUGAAUUCUCUGGGGCCUGGAAGUUGUUGAAUAGCUGUUUUAUUUCAAUCACUUGUUAUAAUUGCUCCUUGGUUGGAGCAGGGUUCUUCCUUUUUGUGAGAAAGGACAACUGUUUUGAGAAAGAAAUCUGUUCAUUCAAAGUCUGGGCUGUAUCAGGCGGCUUCAAUGUUGAAGAUUCGAGUCAUGACCUUUUCUUACAUUCAGAAGGGGAACUUUUGCUAUGAAGUAUUAGCUUUUGAUUUGAAUUUGUUUCAGUUAUUAGCACAUGAUUACUUAAACCAUCGAUGUUGAUGUAAUGGGUUUAUCUUCCUGAAGUCUGAAAUGUGGCAGAUUAUUUAGAACUUAUUGUUUGAAAUGUGUACUUUAGGAUUUAGCAGAGGAUGUUGAUAAUGUGCCCUUUCUUAUUGGCUGGCUGUUGUAUCAUUCUUUUUUUCAUCUUUUGGCUGGCUGUUGUAUUUUUUUUUCUACUUCUUUUUUGUUGUUUUCUUCCUCACUUUUUAGCAUAGCUGUGUAGAAUACAAAUAUUGUGUAUGAUGUAGAGAGCUAACCAUUUGAUCGCUGUAAUCAUUCAAAGCAGGAGAAUUGUACAUGCUUUGGUGUACAUAUUGAUAUUAACUUCAAUGAUAAAGGUGAAUACACCUCCAGUCUUGUUUUA
This is an RNA transcript of Vigna angularis (adzuki bean), 2997 nucleotides long. RefSeq lists it as uncharacterized. Lineage: Eukaryota; Viridiplantae; Streptophyta; Magnoliopsida; Fabales; Fabaceae. The transcript has 3 exons. The record is from RefSeq and is a predicted model, not a curated record.